RNAcentral lists this ribosomal RNA (483 nucleotides) under uncultured bacterium. RNAcentral's name for it is "bacterial SSU rRNA". It matches the Rfam family "Bacterial small subunit ribosomal RNA", at positions 28 to 526 of the family's 1533-position model. The record is from RNAcentral.
GACGAACGCUGGCGGCGUGCUUAACACAUGCAAGUCGAACGGACUAUAGGGGUUUACUUCUAUAGUUAGUGGCGGACGGGUGAGUAACGCGUGAGCAACCUACCUUGUGCAGGGGGAUAACACUUAGAAAUAGGUGCUAAUACCGCAUAAGACCACAGUACCGCAUGGUACAGGGGUAAAAGCCGAGACGGCACAAGAUGGGCUCGCGUCCCAUUAGGUAGUUGGUGAGGGUAAAGGCCCACCAAGCCUACGAUGGGUAGCCGACCUGAGAGGGUGAACGGCCACACUGGAACUGAGAAACGGUCCAGACUCCUACGGGAGGCAGCAGUGGGGAAUAUUGGGCAAUGGAGGGAACUCUGACCCAGCAACGCCGCGUGAAGGAUGAAGGUCUUCGGAUUGUAAACUUCUGUUGUCAGGGACGAAGAAUGACGGUACCUGACGAGAAAGCCCCGGCUAACUACGUGCCAGCCGCCGCGGUAAAAC